Molecule: long non-coding RNA, 288 nt
Filed under: Mytilus galloprovincialis (Mediterranean mussel)
Lineage: Eukaryota; Metazoa; Mollusca; Bivalvia; Mytilida; Mytilidae
Source: RNAcentral
GUAAAGUAAAUGACCUGACUCAAGCUAGCGAACAAUAAGCCAGCGAACAAUAAGAUGAAUCAAGCUAGCGAACAAUAAGCCAGCGAACAAUAAGAAAACGCACCCACAUGAUCAUGCCUAAAAACCGAAGAUUUGCAAUAACACGACACGUACUUAUAAAUAUGAUGACAAAUAAAUAAAAAUGAUGACAAAUAAUUUCCAAUAGGAAGAUGAAAUGCAAUUCCAUUUAAACACAGAAAAGUUUAAUAAUUUAUUUGUGUAUUUAAUAACUUUUUUUUAAGGCCGGGA